UACGUAGGUGGCAAGCGUUGUCCGGAAUUACUGGUGUAAAGGGAGCGUAGGCGGGGAGACAAGUUGAAUGUUUAAACUAUCGGCUCAACUGAUAGUCGCGUUCAAAACUAUCACUCUUGAGUGCAGUAGAGGUAGGCGGAAUUCCUAGUGUAGCGGUGAAAUGCGUAGAUAUUAGGAGGAACACCAGUGGCGAAGGCGGCCUACUGGGCUGUAACUGACGCUGAGGCUCGAAAGCGUGGGUAGCAAACAGG
Molecule: ribosomal RNA, 251 nt
Filed under: uncultured bacterium
Lineage: Bacteria
Description: partial 16S ribosomal RNA
Rfam family: Bacterial small subunit ribosomal RNA
Source: RNAcentral